Molecule: ribosomal RNA, 497 nt
Filed under: uncultured bacterium
Lineage: Bacteria
Description: partial 16S ribosomal RNA
Rfam family: Bacterial small subunit ribosomal RNA
Source: RNAcentral
GAUGAACGCUGGCGGCGUGCCUAAUACAUGCAAGUCGAGCGAACAGAUAAGGAGCUUGCUCCUUUGACGUUAGCGGCGGACGGGUGAGUAACACGUGGGUAACCUACCUAUAAGACUGGAAUAACUCCGGGAAACCGGGGCUAAUGCAGGAUAAAAUGUUGAACCGCAUGGUUCUACAGUGAAAGGCGGCUUUGCUGUCACUUAUAGAUGGACCCGCGCCGUAUUAGCUAGUUGGUGAGGUAACGGCUCACCAAGGCAACGAUACGUAGCCGACCUGAGAGGGUGAUCGGCCACACUGGAACUGAGACACGGUCCAGACUCCUACGGGAGGCAGCAGUAGGGAAUCUUCCGCAAUGGGCGAAAGCCUGACGGAGCAACGCCGCGUGAGUGAUGAAGGUCUUCGGAUCGUAAAACUCUGUUAUUAGGGAAGAACAAAUGCGUAAGUAACUGUGCGCGUCUUGACGGUACCUAAUCAGAAAGCCACGGCUAACUACGUG